AAUGGGCGCAAGCCUGAUCCAGCCAUGCCGCGUGAGUGAUGAAGGCCUUAGGGUCGUAAAGCUCUUUCGCCAGGGAUGAUAAUGACAGUACCUGGUAAAGAAACCCCGGCUAACUCCGUGCCAGCAGCCGCGGUAAUACGGAGGGGGUUAGCGUUGUUCGGAAUUACUGGGCGUAAAGCGCACGUAGGCGGACUGGAAAGUUAGGGGUGAAAUCCCGGGGCUCAACCCCGGAACUGCCUCUAAAACUAUCAGUCUAGAGUUCGAGAGAGGUGAGUGGAAUUCCGAGUGUAGAGGUGAAAUUCGUAGAUAUUCGGAGGAACACCAGUGGCGAAGGCGGCUCACUGGCUUGAUACUGACGCUGAGGUGCGAAAGUGUGGGGAGCAAACAGGAUU
This 392-nucleotide ribosomal RNA is filed under the name uncultured Gammaproteobacteria bacterium. RNAcentral describes it as "bacterial SSU rRNA". It matches the Rfam family "Bacterial small subunit ribosomal RNA", at positions 370 to 779 of the family's 1533-position model. The record is from RNAcentral. Lineage: Bacteria; Pseudomonadati; Pseudomonadota; Gammaproteobacteria.